CGAAGAUGAUCUUCUGUGGUAGGGCGUCGCCGGCGGCGGCGGCACCUGUAUAGACCGUCUCGGUGUGACAGAAGAGUUCGGAGUUCACUCCGAGAAAGAAUUGCUUUGCAUGUACAUUUGCUGAAAGACUGAUGUGCUGAACUUUCGAUGAUUUCGAUUGGUAUUCAACUUGAGGAAUUUCAUACUUUUGGAGUGGAGCUAUCAAAUAUAUGUGUGCUCGAUGUUGGUGUUUUAAUCCGGAUCUCUUGCUGAAGGUGCUCGAUGUUGGUGUUUGAAUACUGCUACCGUACUUCAAGUCUAUGAAGAAUUGCAAGGAGGAGGAUAAUAGAGCAGCAACCAGAGCUGACAAUUGGCCUGUAAAUGCAGCAAAGUUCUCCUAGAGGUAGCGGGGCGCUUGAGGUGAGGUGGCUGCAGGGUCGCUCGAGAAGAACAGGCUCAUAAGCACCACCUGGAUGCCUUCGUCAUCAGCAAUGUGGACAAGGUAAAGUGGGAUGGCGGGAUUGUAUAGUGCUCAUAAGCCAGUCCGGGCAUUGUCCUUCCUCGAAUGAAUCUGAGACUACUCCUCAUAUGUUAAUCAGUUGCUCCUCCCUAGCUUUGGUUUGGUCUGAACUUCAAAGUUUUCAUCC
Molecule: long non-coding RNA, 626 nt
Organism: Triticum aestivum (bread wheat)
Lineage: Eukaryota; Viridiplantae; Streptophyta; Magnoliopsida; Poales; Poaceae
Exons: 5
Source: RefSeq, a predicted model, not a curated record